GGCUCGAUGGCGGACGGUCCGCGUCUGCAUUGCAUCCGUCCGAUUUGUGUGCCGUGUAUGCGGAAUGUCCCCGUUCGACUCGGGGUCGAGCCA
This is a non-coding RNA of Mycena vulgaris, 93 nucleotides long. The record is from the annotation of a GenBank genome assembly. Lineage: Eukaryota; Fungi; Basidiomycota; Agaricomycetes; Agaricales; Mycenaceae.